UGCAGUAUGGGAGCUCAAAGAGCAGAGGCGUGCAGCAAUAAAUGAAUGCAAGUCAAAACAUUGACGGCAUUAAUCUUCUUCUUAACGAUGGAUCAGCUGAUUUACAAAGUCUGCGUGAAGGUUAUCAGCUAAACUCCAGAACACGCCGAUGCGCUGAGAUCUGGUUUAUCCACGUCUAACCCUUCGAACCGGAGUCGGUACGGAGACGGGGACUGAAGCACACAGACAGAGUCUCCAGCUGAGGGAGGAGGUGCUGUUUGAGACAGGAGGACGGUUUUGUCUCUGUGUUUGGGGCUGAGGACUCAGACAGCAGAGCUGAGAUAAUGGAUUGACCUCUCGUCUGCCCGCGCAGAGUGGCUGCAUUAUAGCAAAGCCAGUGUGAAUAAAAGAAAAGAUGGUUAUUUUUAGACGCCCGAUUGAAAUGCUGAAGGAAUCUGCCACCGGGAUCAGAGUGCAGAGCUGUGAGGAGAUAAAAUCAUCUUGAAGGGAAGAAAAGAAAGAAGGUGGAGGAGCAGCAGCAGAGAGGAGGAGGAGGAGGAGGAGGAGGAGGAGGUGGAGGAGGAUGUAAACAUCUUCAGCUUCAGCCUGUGGGGCUGCUGUCUGCGUUUACAAGGAAACAACAAUACACACAUUUCUAAAAGCAGAUCCAUCAUUUACAUAAAUUAUAGAUUAAUCCAGAUUAAUUAGCAUUUAUAUUUGAAUGAGGGUUUAAAAGCUUUAAGGGUUUAUUUUGAUUAUUUACUCUGACUCCUCUGAUCACUGCCAGGCUGCUCCUGCUCCUCCUGUGCCUCCUCCUCCUGCUGCUGCUCCUC
Non-coding RNA from Xyrichtys novacula (pearly razorfish), 812 nucleotides. Lineage: Eukaryota; Metazoa; Chordata; Actinopteri; Labriformes; Labridae. The record is from the annotation of a GenBank genome assembly.